UGGGGAAUAUUGGACAAUGGGCGCAAGCCUGAUCCAGCAAUGCCGCGUGUGUGAAGAAGGCCUUCGGGUUGUAAAGCACUUUUAUCAGGAGCGAAACGCUGUCGGCUAAUACCCGGCGGAACUGACGGUACCUGAGGAAUAAGCACCGGCUAACUUCGUGCCAGCAGCCGCGGUAAUACGAAGGGUGCAAGCGUUAAUCGGAAUUACUGGGCGUAAAGCGUGCGUAGGCGGUUUCUUAAGUCUGCUGUGAAAUCCCCGGGCUCAACCUGGGAAUGGCAGUGGAUACUGGGAGGCUAGAGUGUGUCAGAGGUGGUGGAAUUCCCGGUGUAGCGGUGAAAUGCGUAGAGAUCGGGAGGAACAUCAGUGGCGAAGGCGGCCACCUGGGACAACACUGACGCUGAGGCACGAAAGCGUGGGGAGCAAACAGGAUUAGAUACCCUGGUAGUCCACGCCCUAAAGCGAUGCGAACUGGAUGUUGGUCUCAACUCGGAGAUCAGUGUCGAAGCUAACGCGUUAAGUUCGCCGCCUGGGGAGUACGGUCGCAAGACUGAAACUCAAAUGAAUUGACGGGGUCAUAGCUGUUUCC
RNAcentral lists this ribosomal RNA (586 nucleotides) under uncultured bacterium. RNAcentral's name for it is "partial 16S ribosomal RNA". It matches the Rfam family "Bacterial small subunit ribosomal RNA", at positions 355 to 937 of the family's 1533-position model. The record is from RNAcentral.